This is a non-coding RNA of Punica granatum (pomegranate), 593 nucleotides long. Lineage: Eukaryota; Viridiplantae; Streptophyta; Magnoliopsida; Myrtales; Lythraceae. The record is from RefSeq and is a predicted model, not a curated record.
UCCGAUUCCAGUCUAUGGGGUAUCCAAAACCGAAACCGGAAUCCGGAACCGGAUGGUAAUUACUUAAAAAAAAAAGGGGUAAAGUUACCCUCAAUGUGACAAUAUCAGUCGAGAUUGGGAAGACAUGAAGGAACAAGUUCCUCUUCGUCGCUCGCCUUUCGUCUCCGACUCUCCGGCCUCCGACUCUCCUUGAAUCUCUCUUUACCGAACUCAGCGGCACCACGACGGAGAUUAUGAUGGAUUAAUGUGUGGAGCAACUACAAGCGGUGAGGAAGAUGAGAAUGGCAGUGCCAGUGAAGAAGCCACUCCAGUGGAAGCAUAGAAGCACACCAUGCUGGAGUGCUGGAAUUAAAUUACAAAAUUUUGGCACAUUCGAGUGGGAGAUCAAGUGAGGAUAUUAGGAGUGUGAUUUGUCUGCUUUUGGAUAGAUAAAUUUUUUAGUUCGUGGACCGUAUUACCAUUAUGGACGUAUUGUGAGGAAAUAUUACAUUUUGUUAUGUGAGAUCGUAUUAUGGAUGGAUUGAUGAGACAUAUUAUUUUUUAUUGUUGUGGAUUAAUCUAAAUUUAUGUCGAUAUUAUAUUUGCCGUGAUUA